This is a long non-coding RNA of Ictalurus punctatus (channel catfish), 1027 nucleotides long. RefSeq lists it as uncharacterized. The transcript has 4 exons. NCBI's taxonomy places the organism in Eukaryota, Metazoa, Chordata, Actinopteri, Siluriformes, Ictaluridae. The record is from RefSeq and is a predicted model, not a curated record.
GCAAUUGCAGGCGCAUUUUAUCCGAACUGCUUCCUCCAGGGAACUGUGGACGAGGAGCUCGCCUCCAAGGAACUCUAUGGAAACGACCCCAGGACCACCGUAGUGGUGUGUAAUCUCCCUCCAUUUGCAUUCCUCUACUAUAAACAGCUCCAGUCUCUCUUCAGACACUGUGGUUAAGUCAAAUCCAUCUCCUUUGACAGCUCCAGGGCCUAUGUAGAGUUCUACCGCUCGUAAAUGAGAGGUUCUGGCGUUCUCCCAGAGGUCUCUCUGUCUCUCCUCCUCACGCAGCAGAGACUUCCUCUCCAUCUCAACGUUUAACCCGCUGGAGAGGUGGAGACUUGGGCAGGGGGGUAGUGUAUCUCACACCUCAGAUAUACACGGUACACACACACACACACACACACUGCAGCGAGCAUCAUCAGAUGAGUCAUGGUUACAUUUUAAGUGAGAGUAGUCAUGUGACCACAUCCCCUAGACAGUGUGAUGUUUAGAUGAUGUUCUGUACAUUAGUGCUGUUCUGUUACAGGUCUCUCUCUCUGUGUCUCUCUCACUCACUGUGUGUGUGUGUCUCUCUCAGGGUGAAUGUGGAUUUUCAGAAUCAGUCAGUAAGCCCUGUCGGGGUUCUGAGCAGCUCCAUUGAGCUGGAGAAUCUUCCGUCUAACCCUGUCUUUAUCGUCAAUAUCACCGAAGUCAUCAGAGUCGGGCAUUUCUGGGGUUUCCAGGCUCACGCGGCAAGUCUGGAGAAACAGAGGUGGCUGACAGUGGCUGUUAAUACACGGGCGCUCUGCUCACUUCCUGUCUCACCUUAUCCAAAUCUUCUGUGUCUCGCCCCUUUCUCUGAAACUCACACCAAACCUGGGAACUACUACAGAGCCAAAAUACUGCAUGUCAUGGGGAGUAAUGUGGAGGUAACAUCUGUACACACACACACGUACACCUACUAAAGCGCCUCCGUGAUGGAGAAUGGAGUGGUUACAGGAAAACUGCACAUUGAGUGUACACACGUGUGUGUGUGUGUGUGUGUGUG